RNAcentral lists this ribosomal RNA (441 nucleotides) under uncultured bacterium. RNAcentral's name for it is "partial 16S ribosomal RNA". It matches the Rfam family "Bacterial small subunit ribosomal RNA", at positions 338 to 795 of the family's 1533-position model. The record is from RNAcentral.
CCUACGGGAGGCAGCAGUGGGGAAUAUUGCACAAUGGGGGAAACCCUGAUGCAGCCACGCCGCGUGAAGGAAGACGGUUCUCGGAUUGUAAACCUCUGUUCUUAGUGAAGAAUACUGACGUUAGCUAAGGAGUAAGCCACGGCUAACUACGUGCCAGCAGCCGCGGUAAUACGUAGGUGGCAAGCGUUGUCCGGAAUUACUGGGUGUAAAGGGAGUGCAGGCGGGAAGCCAAGUCAGCUGUGAAAACUACGGGCUUAACUUGUAGACUGCAGUUGAAACUGGUUGUCUUGAGUGAAGUAGAGGUAGGCGGAAGUCCGGGUGUAGCGGUGAAAUGCGUAGAUAUUCGGAGGAACACCGAUGGCGAAGGCAGCCAACUGGGCUAUAACUGACGCUGAGGCUCGAAAGUGUGGGGAGCAAACAGGAUUAGAUACCCGAGUAGUC